Molecule: long non-coding RNA, 618 nt
Filed under: Rattus norvegicus (Norway rat)
Lineage: Eukaryota; Metazoa; Chordata; Mammalia; Rodentia; Muridae
Description: long non-coding RNA NONRATT019028
Source: RNAcentral
CCCACCUCUCUCCCCAUGCCAUGACCCACACACCAUCUGGAAGCUGUGUCAUGUUGUUGGUCAGUCAGUCAGCCUCACUGCCUCUUUGGGCUACCCGGACCCUGGGAACCAGAGUAGCCCUAUCCCAGGUUGCCCCUGCCAGGAGGCCACACCACGUCUGUUUCAUCCCUGUUUCUCUUGCCUCUACACGGGGCUUGAUGCCUUCGUUCUUGCCCUGCAACAGCCCUGCAGGGCAUAGCUGUGAUGUCCCAUUCCGUCCGUCUGUCUGGCCACUGGCCCCGCCCCCCAGACACCUGUCUCACCUGUCUCACCAGAGCCAUGCGUGUUGCAUCUUCCAUGUGGUCUCUGUGUGGGCCGGGGGCUGGGGGCCGGGCCUGGGUCCAUCUGGGUGGACGACUGGGGCCCAGCAUUGGCACUGACCCUUGGUCACAGGGAGACUGCCAGGUGGGGAGUGGGGUGUUGCCGUGUUGAACAGGUCCCCGAUGGAGGUAUGGCAGCAGCGAGUGCCCAGGUGAUCUGAACAUGGAUAGGGUAUCCUUGAAAGUACUGGGGCCUGAAUACCUAAGCAAAACAGGUUCUCAGAAGGAGGCCCAGGAGGGGGAGGCUAAGACCAGUGCU